Molecule: microRNA precursor, 96 nt
Filed under: Ovis aries (sheep)
Lineage: Eukaryota; Metazoa; Chordata; Mammalia; Artiodactyla; Bovidae
Description: miRNA (ENSOARG00000024988.1)
Source: RNAcentral
AACCUAGAAAUGGAGGAAGAAGAGGAAGAAAUGGCAGGUUCUCAGGUAAAAUUUGUCAUCUGGAUCAGGGGCUGUGUCCUUUUUUCUUGCUGAAAU